UGCCAGCCGCCGCGGUAAUACGGAGGGUGCGAGCGUUAUCCGGAAUUAUCGGGUUUAAAGGGUGCGUAGGCGGAAAUUUAAAUCAGUGGUGAAAGCCUGCAGCUUAACUGCAGAAUUGCCAUCGAUACUGGAUUUCUUGAAUCUAAUAGAAGUAGGCGGAAUAUGACAUGUAGCGGUGAAAUGCUUAGAUAUGUCAUAGAACGCCGAUAGCGAAGGCAGCUUACUAUGUUAGUAUUGACGCUAAUGCACGAAAGCGUGGGGAGCGAACAGGAUUAGAUA
Molecule: ribosomal RNA, 279 nt
Filed under: uncultured bacterium
Lineage: Bacteria
Description: partial 16S ribosomal RNA
Rfam family: Bacterial small subunit ribosomal RNA
Source: RNAcentral